UUAUCAAAAACAUGUCUUUUUGAAAAUAAUUUAAAGUCUAACCUGCCCAAUGAAAUGAUUGAAUGGCCGCGGUAUUUUGACUGUGCUAAGGUAGCAUAAUCAAUAGUUUUUUAAUUGAAAGCUGGAAUGAAGGGUUGGAUAAGAAAAUAACUGUCUUUAAUUAAUUUAAUUAGAAUUUUAUUUUUAAGUUAAAAAGCUUAAAUACUUUUAAAAGACGAGAAGACCCUAUAGAGUUUAAUAAUUAAUAUUAUUUUUAAUUUAAGUAUUAAAUCUAAAAUUUUUAUUAAUUAUUUAAUUGGGGUGAUUAAAAAAUUAAUUAAACUUUUUUUUAUUAAUACAUUAUUAAAUGAGUAAUUGAUCCAUAUUUAAUGAUUAUAAGAUUAAAUUACCUUAGGGAUAACAGCGUUAUUUUUUUUGAGAGUUCAA
RNAcentral lists this ribosomal RNA (426 nucleotides) under Phaedon brassicae (daikon leaf beetle). Its description in RNAcentral is "partial 16S ribosomal RNA". The record is from RNAcentral. Lineage: Eukaryota; Metazoa; Arthropoda; Insecta; Coleoptera; Chrysomelidae.